Molecule: ribosomal RNA, 380 nt
Filed under: uncultured eukaryote
Lineage: Eukaryota
Description: partial 18S ribosomal RNA
Rfam family: Eukaryotic small subunit ribosomal RNA
Source: RNAcentral
CAAUAGCGUAUAUUAAAGUUGUUGCGGUUAAAAAGCUCGUAGUUGGAUUUCUGCUGAGGACGACCGGUCCGCCCUCUGGGUGAGUAUCUGGCUCGGCCUUGGCAUCUUCUUGGAGAACGUUGCUGCACUUGACUGUGUGGCGCGGUAUCCAGGACAUUUACUUUGAGGAAAUUAGAGUGUUUCAAGCAGGCAUACGCCUUGAAUACAUUAGCAUGGAAUAAUAAGAUAGGACCUCGGUUCUAUUUUGUUGGUUUCUAGAGCUGAGGUAAUGAUUAAUAGGGAUAGUUGGGGGCAUUCGUAUUUAACUGUCAGAGGUGAAAUUCUUGGAUUUGUUAAAGACGGACUGCUGCGAAAGCAUUUGCCAAGGAUGUUUUCAUUGA